UCGCUAGUAAUCGCGGAUCAGAAUGCCGCGGUGAAUACGUUCCCGGGUCUCGUACACACCGCCCGUCACACCAUGGGAGUCGGAAAUGCCCGAAGUCUGUGACCUAACCGUAAGGAAGGAGCAGCCGAAGGCAGGUCGGAUGACUGGGGUGAAGUCGUAACAAGGUAAC
This 169-nucleotide ribosomal RNA is filed under the name uncultured bacterium. RNAcentral describes it as "partial 16S ribosomal RNA". It matches the Rfam family "Bacterial small subunit ribosomal RNA", at positions 1332 to 1500 of the family's 1533-position model. The record is from RNAcentral.